UACGGGGGGGGCAAGCGUUGUUCGGAAUUACUGGGCGUAAAGGGCUCGUAGGCGGCCAACUAAGUCAGACGUGAAAUCCCUCGGCUUAACCGGGGAACUGCGUCUGAUACUGGAUGGCUUGAGUUCGGGAGAGGGAUGCGGAAUUCCAGGUGUAGCGGUGAAAUGCGUAGAUAUCUGGAGGAACACCGGUGGCGAAGGCGGCAGCCUGGACCGAUACUGACGCUGAGGAGCGAAAGCCAGGGGAGCAAACGGG
This 253-nucleotide ribosomal RNA is filed under the name uncultured bacterium. RNAcentral's name for it is "partial 16S ribosomal RNA". It matches the Rfam family "Bacterial small subunit ribosomal RNA", at positions 524 to 776 of the family's 1533-position model. The record is from RNAcentral.